RNA transcript from Hemibagrus wyckioides, 5614 nucleotides. It is a transcript of the gene named SMAD family member 4a, with no coding region annotated. NCBI's taxonomy places the organism in Eukaryota, Metazoa, Chordata, Actinopteri, Siluriformes, Bagridae. The record is from RefSeq and is a predicted model, not a curated record. The transcript is spliced from 13 exons.
CAUAUUGCUAAGGAAAAUCAAAGCAGCUGCUGGGCGUAAGAUGGUGCACGGACGCUGAGGCUCGCGUGUUUAUUUUUGUUCAAAACUACCACUUCUUUCCGCUUAUGCAUAAUAUAACAUUUUAUUUCCUUCAUGUUUCGGACAUCUUUCCUACACAAAUGUAGGGUGUGUGAUUUUCCUCCGUUUUACGGACUAGACGCCAUCUCUGGGUGUACAUUAUACUGAAGAGAGUGUACCUAUCCUUCUUAGCUUAGCUUAGUAGUUUAGCUUAGGUAGCUAACUCGUUAUUCACUCAUCAGCGAAUUAUCAAGGUUGAGAAUUGAAUGGCGCACCAGAACGCAGCUUGUUGAUGCUUUUCUGUCUCCGAAUAUCUGAUGAGACCGUAGUAAAAGGCCCUGAAACGAGGGAGGUCAGUCAGGAUGUCAAUCACAAACACACCGACCAGUAAUGAUGCAUGCCUGAGCAUUGUGCACAGCCUGAUGUGCCACAGGCAGGGUGGUGAGAGUGAGACUUUUGCCAAACGAGCCAUUGAGAGCCUGGUGAAAAAGCUGAAGGAGAAGAAGGAUGAACUUGACUCACUUAUCACAGCCAUUACCACCAACGGGGCUCAUCCCAGCAAGUGUGUGACCAUCCAGCGCACUUUGGAUGGCCGGCUUCAGGUGGCUGGACGUAAAGGUUUCCCUCACGUGAUCUACGCCCGCCUAUGGCGGUGGCCCGACCUCCACAAGAAUGAGUUGAAACACGUCAAAUACUGCCAGUUUGCUUUCGACCUGAAGUGUGACAGCGUCUGCGUGAACCCUUAUCACUAUGAGCGGGUGGUUUCACCAGGUAUAGACCUGUCUGGACUUACACUGGGUCCUGGUUCCUCUGGUCUCAUGGUCAAAGACGAGUAUGACUAUGAUUGCCCAUCAUCUUUACCCAGUUCUGAGGGCCACAUCCAGACUAUUCAGCACCCUCCUACAAGACCCAUGCCUGAGCCAGCCUUCAGCAGUCCUGCCCUACUUCCUCCUGCUGAAGGCAGCAGCUCGGCCUCCACCUCUGCCUUCUCUAGUAUCCCAGUGGGAUCCUCAACUCAGCCCAGUAUUCUCUCAGGGAGCCGUAGCAGCGAAGGGCUGCUACAGAUUGCUUCAGGGACAGGGCAGGGGACGCAACAGAAUGGCUUUCCCCCAGGCAGCUCCUCCACUUACCAUCACAAUCCAACCUCCACUUGGACAAGAAGCAGCAGUUUUACUCCCAGUGUGCCUCCACAACAAAAUGGCCAUAUACAACAUCAUCCACCCAUGCACCAUCCAGGACACUACUGGCCUGUACACAAUGAAAUAGCAUUUCAGCCACCUAUAUCAAACCACCCAGCUCCUGAGUACUGGUGCUCCAUUGCCUACUUUGAGAUGGAUGUGCAGGUUGGCGAGACUUUUAAGGUUCCCUCAAACUGCCCCAUUGUGACCGUGGAUGGCUAUGUGGACCCAUCAGGCGGAGACCGCUUUUGUCUGGGCCAGCUUAGCAACGUGCACAGAACUGAGGCCAUUGAAAGAGCAAGGCUGCACAUUGGUAAGGGUGUUCAGCUGGAGUGUAAAGGUGAGGGUGAUGUGUGGGUGCGCUGCCUCAGCGACCACGCUGUCUUCGUGCAGAGCUACUACUUGGAUCGAGAAGCUGGCCGUGCCCCUGGAGAUGCUGUGCAUAAGAUCUACCCAAGUGCAUACAUCAAGGUGUUUGACCUACGUCAGUGCCACCGGCAGAUGCAACAGCAGGCAGCUACGGCUCAGGCAGCAGCUGCAGCUCAGGCGGCAGCGGUGGCUGGAAACAUCCCUGGGCCUGGAUCUGUGGGUGGCAUCGCUCCCGCAAUCAGUCUGUCUGCUGCUGCUGGCAUCGGAGUAGAUGAUCUGCGGAGGCUGUGCAUCCUGCGCAUGAGCUUCGUGAAAGGCUGGGGUCCUGAUUACCCAAGACAGAGCAUUAAGGAGACACCGUGCUGGAUCGAGAUUCACUUGCACCGCGCCUUGCAGCUGCUGGACGAGGUGCUACACACCAUGCCCAUAGCUGACCCCCAGCCACUGGACUGAGCACAACAUUCUCUCUCUCCCUGUUAGAGCCAGGCGCUGAACUGAGUGAGGUUUUGUUUUUCCACAAUCAGGUAACUAAUGCCGAUGAACUGUGCGACAGCGUGGACGAGUUCAAAGCUUAUCCUCAGCCUCUUGUUAAACAAAAGGCGAGAUCAAGGAUGUUGGCACAACAAGAAUUUGACUUUUUCCAAUAGGUAAUAACAGUGGAAAGAUGCUCCAUGAUUUCAUCCAAACACCUUAUCGUAGCUGUUCCCAAAGUACUAACGAUGGUGCAAAAGUUGUAUUAACAAACAAGGAAUUGAAUUUUGCGCAUUUUGUUUUUCACAUGGAGGUAUUGUAAAACCAGGAAUUGCAAAACGGACAUAAUUUCCUUUAUACAGACAGGUGUUUUUCCAGAAUUCAUGGACAUAGAUUCCACAGUCUGCAACAUAAAGAUGUUCAGGGACAUUUCAUGCAUGUCUGUGCUACCAAAAACUAAUCACUGCUUUACAGGGGAAUGUUUAAUGAAUUACAUUUAUGUCGUAUUGGGCCAUGAAGUUACUGACCUGUGUAUUAAUAGUGCAGGAACUUGGCCUUGUUUCAUUAACUAUAAAACUAUGUAGGGUUUUUUUUCCAGUUUGUAAAUUUCAGAGCCCUCUGCUUCUCCCCCCCCCCCAUACCAAACCCACAUUCUCAGUUGAAAGCAUGUUUGUUUCCAGAGUCACAUUUUAGGAAUGACAAAAAAAAAGAAGCUGGAAACUGAGUAGCCCUGUAUGAGCAGGGGUCAUGCCAGAAAAAUGUAAGCAGAUGCAUAUAAUUGACAAAUUAGCUCCAAUGACAAUAUUGCAGAUUUUCUAAAAUAUUCUUAAAAAAAAAAAAUACAGGAUUGUUACACAUGGAGAUGCAGACUGCACCCUUAACUGCUGUUUCAGAAAUUGAGCCAUCCCUUAGCUUAUUAAACCAUGUAGCAUUUUUUUUUCCUUGUUGGAAGUUAUUAAAGCAAUUUUAACUAGUUUGACCCUGAUGUUUUCUAACAUGUAAACACAUUGUACUACAGGUAAGAGAUAAGAAGACAGAUGAAGCGAUGACUGUGCUGUUUGCAAUGUAAAACUUAAGUGAGAUCAGCUUCUUUUGUAUGGGCACAAUGUUUUUUUUGUUUUUUGAAGCUAAUUCAUUAUCAAUUAAUAUAGCACUUUAUUGAAGGGUUUAUUUUUUUCCACCUUCACUAAGGUUCAUUCGCAGCUUCAUUAUUAAACAUUUAAAAGGUUUUCUUUUUUCUUUUUUGGAGGGUGGGGGAAUAAUACCCAUACCUAUGUGCUUUGUAUGUCUAAAUGCUUGUUGAAAGGGCUUGUAGUGAUUUCCACUUCAUAAAAUGUUCUUGGCCUUGAAGUAAGACUCCUAAAGAUACCUCUCUCUUUCUCUCUCUAAACUCAAUUUCGUACCUUUUUAAAUUCCCAUUGUUCUCAGUGAGUAAAUCUCAUUGAUGUGUUAAUUAGAAUGAAACUAGAAAACGAACAUGUUUUCUAUGCAACCUUGAAGCCAUAUGAAACGAGAGAACAGAGAAUAACGUCAGUAUUACUUAAGGUGUAUGAACGUCCUUCCUCUUGCUUUUAAGUACAAACGGACAGAGUUUAGACAAUCCCAUUGGCAUGGCCUGUCUUAGUGGUCUUACCUAGAAUGUUUCCUUUUGCUACUUUUAUGAUAUGCAGCCUGAUAUGUCCUAUAGCAAUUUGUAUUGAAAAGUGGAUUGCAGUUUCCAUUGAAACAUUUGUUCUUUCAGGUAGAUAAUUGAUUUUAUCAGUUAACUGAAAUAUAUUUCAAAAUAGGAUGAACAAUUUCUGCUGUCUUGUGUGUUUUUGUCCUUCAUGUGUGUUCAUGUUUAACACUAGGUUUUGAUUCCACUUUAUACACAUUUCUCCUAAGCUAAAAUUGAGAUUUGCUGGUAUGGAAAUAUCAGAUGAAUUAGCAUUUAUGAAGUAAAGCCUUGUGACUUAGAUUUGACUUGUUAAAAACUGAUCCAAUUUAAUGAGUAUUUGUCAUUAACUGAAGCUCUUUUCCCAUCACAACUGGAUAAUGUUCACAUGAAACACAAACCUGGCUGACAGACACCACUGCCAUAGUCAGUUAAAUUUGGAGUAUUUACAGGGGUUUACACAGAAUGGUGCAGGGAUGUGAGUGGUGGUAACUUGAUCAUUUUACAUCCAUUGGAGAGCAGAAAGUCAUCUAAGAAUACAGAAUUUCCCUGUUAACAUGGCAGGUGUGUGUACAUGGGUUACAUAGUAUUCCAAAAUGUUAAUUGAAAUCUAUUUUCUUUUUCUUUGUGUAGCAUUUUGUAAGUUUGUCAUGAGGCGGCGAUCAUGAAAAGAUGCAUUGUGUAAUGCUAGCAACUCCAGCCAUGAGACAGAUCUUUCAACAAGAAAAAGUUUAUUAAUUGAAAGACAAGCCACAAAUGAACUGGACCCUCCCCCAACCCCACAAAUCUCCUGUUGAGUAAACUGGCAUACGGUCUGAACUCCCUUCACAGUCAGUGCACGGAUUGAUCCAUCAAAACAAAGAGCUACAAAAGCAACACCACCUGCUUAUAGUAUUAACUAUACCACACAAACGUAUGAAUUGAUUUAUCCUAUUUAUAUAUGUAGCAAUAUUUAUUUCUAUAUAAUAGCAAGUUUUGGUCCCCUGUACAGAUAUCCAGUGUGAAACAAAGGGAAUAACAGUGUGAUGAAUUGACAAGAUUAAACAGUACGACGUAACGCACAACAGCGUUCGUCCAACAGCUGGCACCACUGGUGUGAGGUAGGGUGACGGUUACACAAACAACUCAAGACACGCACGCACACAAAUCUGUUACUAAACAAUUAAAUUGACAACUCACACUGAUGACAAAUCCAUCCACGAGUCCAGUUGCAGAGAUCAGGUGUUAGUUAGCUAGCAGUGAUUAUUUAUUUGCAGCGAGUGUUCUAGUGAAAAAUGGCCCUCCUCAGUGCGAUGCAGUUGCUUUGACAAAACAGAAAAACUGUUGCUGGGUUAAGGCACUAGCAUGAACCCGAGGUACAUUAAAUCCCUGACAUUAGCUCGGUUUUAUGACAGCACAGGUGCAAGAGAGGACAUGAAGCUGUACAACAGCCUGGAACAGCCAAUAUCAACACUUCCAAUGUUUCGUUUGACUUUUUUGGUCGUUUUGUUUUGUUUUUUGGUCCGAUCAAUCAAUCAAACAAGCCAAAUAAAUAAAUAUAUAUUUCUCCCAACAAAACCAUCAAACUCACCAGGUCUGCACUGGAUACAUAGAGGAUGUAAAAUGAAUCCUCUCCUAAGACCAGACUGAUCUGACAAACAGUAGGUAAGGAGAACGGCUCAAGGAAGAGACUGGACAUCUCUGCACAGCUCACUUGAGGUUAUAGCAGCACAAUAAACAGCAAGAUUUCUGACAAAGCCACAUGGGGUGGGGGGGCAAUGGCCAACGGUACACAUACAGUGAAAUUCAGUGGUGUUUGUUUUUCCUGUGGAGCUAGUGGCUUGGAAUUGAGUUCUUGGUCAGUUGGGGGGAAAAAAACAGAAAAAAAAAAAAACUCUUUUUUCAG